Molecule: long non-coding RNA, 2577 nt
Filed under: Bemisia tabaci
Lineage: Eukaryota; Metazoa; Arthropoda; Insecta; Hemiptera; Aleyrodidae
Description: lncRNA ENSSWEETPG013722
Source: RNAcentral
AUGAUACUACCAACAAUCUCUGGGGUUUUCAGGGUUUAUAUGGUGAAGUCGGAUCACAGCUGCGAUCGCCUAGCAGGGCCAAAAAUGAUGAAGCAGACUUCAGAAGGGAUACCCCGUGCACAGCCGAAGAGUGAGCUUGUUUCUGAAGAACUAAUGCGAAACAGAAACUACGGAGCAGACGCGAGUCUGCUCGAUUAUAGAUCGGAACUUUCUCGGCAGCAACCAGUCGUGUUUCUAAAACAUGUCGAUGUCAACUUAUUCGGCAAUUCGCCAAUCCACACGGAUCGUCUGCAAAGGCCAAUAGUACCUUUGGAAAAGCCUAAUGUCAAAGUUUUGAAGAACUCAGCAGGAUCUACUCUGUUCGAACCCAAAUACGUUACUUCCUCAUUACUGUCGGACAUAAAGGUAGAAGAAUCAGAGGACGAUGACAUACUGCCAACAGAUCACCCUCACGAAGAUGCUAUCCUCCAUCUAGUUAAGCCGGAGAAAGAAAUCGAAUAUGCACAUGGGAUUGCAGCUAAUGAGGAGCUGGAACUAAAACCGGAUAUCAAAGUGAUCGACGAUUUGGUUUCCACAGAGAUCAAAGGAGAUCUAGACAAUGUCCAUCAAGAAAUGUCGACACAAAGUUCUAAAGUACUGAAAAAUCCAGUUGUUUUGCUUGAACGACUCGAACUAGAAUUAGUGCGCAGUCAUUUAAGAGCAUUAGAACCUGCUGCCAGAUUGAGUCGUGUUGCCACCUCAUCUCAGCUGAAACUAGAGGUAGGGAUUAAUUUAAACCUUAAAGAUUCGAACAAGGCCCUUAAUCGAGCAUUUCGCCGUCGUGUGUUGUUCAAAGUGCAAACAACCUGCAGCUGCUGAACCGAAGCACCAAAAAAUCGAGGAAGUUGUUAAAUUACGUUAACUAGCUGGUAUAAUAAUUAUAGGUGUGGCGCCAUUCUCAAAAAAAGCCUGGCACUUAAAAGCCUAUAUAAUUAAAGAACAAUAAUUAUUAGAAAAUGAACAGUAGACAAGGGGUAAACGGGGGGAAGUGAGUAAAUAAAAAAUUUAAAAAGGAAAAAAGGGGACAUAAAAAAGAAAAAAUCAAACAAAAUAAAAUAAGAGAAAAACUGGAAAAAAUCAAACAAAGAGGCUGCACCCGACACAAUGGCCAAUUGUCAUUAGGUGGUAUAUUAUAUUCGUUUUUUGUUGUUUUUUUUUUUGUUUUUUGUUUAUAAGCUUUAUUGUAUACAUAUUUGUACUAAAACGAAAAUUGAAAUUGAAGUCAAAGAAUUAAUGAAAUAGGUUGACAGGAACUAUGCAACGUCACACACAGAGAUCUGUGGUUUCACACUAGGGUCAUCGAUAUGCAAAUAAAAAGAAGACACCUAGUUGAGUUUUGUGUAGUUUCUUUAUUUUUUAUCAGAGUAUAUGACUAUGGUUCCUACAGAAUGUACCUCUGCAAAACAUGUCAAAAUCACAAGUUAAAAAAAUGCCUGCUGUACUGCGCUGGAAAGUCGCGCUAAACACGGUGCGGUGCGGCCACUAAAACGCAAAACGCAUGUUAGUGCCUGCAAGACUGCGUGGAUACUUCCCACAUUGCGCGUACGCUACGGCUAAGUUGGUGCGCGCUUCAAUCGUUGCGUUUCCUCUCUAUCCGUCCUGUGUUCUUAAUGCUCACGCGAGCAAGUAAUAUAAAAGCAUUUAAGGCAGGGCCGAUUUUUUUAAAUUUGCAACAUUUGUUUUCUUCGAUUUAAAUCCAGUAGAAAUAUCAAUUUUAGGUGAGGCAAACUGCCACCAAGAAUUGAUUGUUUUACAUACAUUUAAAUAGAAAAUCAGUGUUUCCAACUUUCAAUAAUCGCCACCAAUUUACGGAGCAUCUAUACUUAAAUUCAGACUGAUUGUUUCUGUGUAUUUUACAGCUUGACUCGUUUCAAACUCAUUGAUGAGCGCUAAAAUAAAAUUACCCGUAGUUCAUAUGCUUUUUGAAUUUACUCAAACUUUCCGUGCUUCAUUUUUACAUUAAAGGGAGUUUAAUACUGAUGACAGACUUUGGUUUUUGAUGAAAAUUUGGUCUGGAAUAUCUGGGCAUUACCCAAAAACCAUCAACCUUCUUCAUCAUGAUCGAAACCUAUAUAACCUACGUUCUACUAUAAAUCAUCAUCGCAAAAUUAAGUGACACUUUAGGUAAAGAGAUGGAAUAAUUUUAACCACCUAAGUAGCAAAAUAGAAUUUUUUCCUAGAAAAAAAAUUAAGAAAACUUCCAUAAAAUACCAAGAAAAUGAGAGUUAUCUAGAAAAUAGAAAGAAAAAACAUUGCGAGUCAAAAGUCUGACCAAAGGAAACAGAUCUAUUUCAUACGUAUACUUUCUGUCAACUUUUCAUUUGGAAAAAAGAUAGAAAAUUUAUUGAAAGUAGAAUUAUUUUCUAGCCAAUUUCUUAAUGUUUUCUUUUAAGAAAAUGCAAGAAAAAAUGAAUUUUCUAACUAUUUUCUAGAUCUACUUUAUACCUAUUACCUAUUUGCUUUCAAGAAAAUUGUUCUAUCUAGAAAGUAGACAUUUUCUUGAUGAGCGCCACCUAGAAUGUAGAUGACAAUGCUACG